AUAUGCAUAUUCUAUAUAUAUAUAUAUAUAUAAAAUUUUUUGAAAUCCCUUAUUUUGUAUGGUGCUGCUUCUCCAAACUGAAUUUCCAAACUGGUGCCUGUUCUACUAAUAUUUCUGCUUUUUCCACAUGUAAAUUUCCUCCUUCUGUCAUCAAUGAAAGAUUUCUUUUUCUAAUUACUACUUUUCUUGGUUUUAAGAAUGUGUGUAUCUGCAAUUCAUGUUUGAAUUCAUUUGCCUGUUUAAAUCCCCUGAAUCAUGGUUUUACUCCCUCUUCAAUUCUUGGCUUAGGGGUAUAGUUUCUUCUCUGACCAUGCACAUUUGAAAGAAAAAUGACUUUAUGCAUGUAUAUACACAUUACAUGUAUGUGUAUAAAUAUGUAUAUGUGUUCUUAAAUCUUCACAGAUAAAAUUGCUUCCUUUUCUACCCAUUAUACCUUGUCCUGUAUUUAUGUUCCUUCAAUAUCUCCAUUUCUACCCAUUUUGUCUUUAUUUAGUCAUUAAAAUUUUGACUAAAAUGAACAGCUUCUUCGUUAUUUUCUUAUUAUUAUUGAUAUUGGGUUGUCAUCUUUGGUAAUUCAGUACCUAUUACAAGAGACCUAAUUCCUACCAAUUUAUUACCAUAUUCAUCUGAAUAUUCAAGAUUGUGUCUUCUACAGUGAACUCUUCAAUUGAAUAAAGCAAUUCAUCAUCAUUUUAAAAUUUUUCAAUGUAAUUGAAAACUGCUGUUGUACUUACUUGCUCCAUGCUGUUUUCCAGGGUAAUGAUUUAUUUUGAUCAUUUUACUUUACAAAUGGGAACCAUAGUUUCCUUAUCUACUACUUGUGAAAUUUUUGAGGUUUUGUUUUUAUUUUGUUUUUCUUAAAACGUCCUUUAGCUCUUUUUUGGGCUUAUAUAUCCAUUUGUUUCUUUUUUAAUUGAAGAUUUCAAAGGUAACUUUUAAAGAUAGACCUUUGCUUUAAAGAACAGGCACUUGACAGAUCUUUUGCUUGAAUACCAUCUGGUGAGUAGACCAGAUUCCUUGCAACAAUGACCAAAACUUGACUUGAAGUUGAAUAAAAAAAAAAAAAAUCAAUCUGUUCAGCAGUUACUGAGUAUUUGCUAGUACUAGGGAAUGGAAAUACAUAAAUCUCCCUCUGUUGAUUGCAACUCUUUUUCUAGUUGGCAAAGACAAGAUGCAUCAGCAAAAGUUAUGCUGAAAACCGUGGCUGUGGAACAGCAUUGAAGCUGAGUUUGACUUUACACUUGACUUGAGUUCUACUCUAAUCCAUGACUGUGUUAUUUUAAUUUGGCAGAAAAGUCUGUGUCCUAAGUGCCCUGGUGGACCUAUUAGUGAAAUGUAGUAGCACAGGGCGGUUAUAUAUAGCACAAAGCUAUACCUCCUGAGAAUCAGAAUUGAAGCCAGUUGCUAUCUGCCUAGGCUUUCUGUAAACAGGUUGGCUAUCAUUCAGCCAGCUUGUAGAAUGAAUCUGUUCCUUUAACCUGUGUAAUCACCAGAAAUGUCAAGGAACUUAGAAGAAAAGAUCAACUUAGGGAUCAGAACCUAGGGAACAGGUUGUGUACCAGGGAUGUACCAGGGAUGAUGGGAUGAUGAGACUGAAGCAACUGGAGAAUUUUUCUUUUCCACUUGUCUCCAUUUUUUUGAGCCAUUUUUUAUUCCUCAACACCUUGAGGAGGUACACAUGGUUGCCUGUAAUCCCAGUGACUGGGAAGGAUGAGUCAAGAGGAUCACAAAUUCAAGGUCAGCCUGGGCAACUUAGCAAGAUUAUAUCAAAAUAAAAAGUAAAAAGGACUGAGGAUGGAGCUCAGUGGUAGAGUCCCCCUGUUGCAAUCUUCAGUACUGGAAAAAAAAAAAAUCACCUAACAAAAAAACCUUGAGAAAGAACGUGGUUUCUGAGUGUGAUCUCAUGAGGAUAUAUAUCUAGCUCCUCUAAAGGUGACAUCAGAUGGUGUGGAUACCUCAAAAGUGAAGCUUAGCCACAACCCUCCUUUGUACUACUUGGAACUCAGAUCUGGUCUCUGACCCAGGCUUUACCAAAGCAUUACAAUUUGAAAUCUUAAAUAAACUCCGCCAUCUUGGUCUAUUGCUAUUUUUUUUUUUUCUGCCAAGGAAAAGGAAAACUGGUAACGAAUGGAUAAAUGUAGCAAAUCACACAUUGUCCUGUUUUUUUUUUCCCUCAAUAAAGUGAGUGAAUAGAACAACAGUUUAUUAAAAAUUAGAUUUGUAUUAAACUUAUAACAUCUGGGUGGGGCUGUAGUUCAGGACAGUGCUUGCCUAUUAUGCUGGAAGCCCCAUGUUCAGUCCUGAGUACUGCAAAACUAGGUAAGUAAAUAAAUAAAUGAAAAAUUAAAAUAUUACCAUCUCAUAUGAGAUAUUUUUGUUUGUUUGUUUUGGGUGCUGGGGAUUGAACUCAAGACCUUGUGGAGGUAUUAGUUUUGAGAAUGUUAAAGGGCUGUCCUGUUAGAGGAAAAUACUUUAAAUUUUAGGAACUUUUGAAUUUCUUAUUGAACUGUCCUACACAGGGAACUGUGGUUGAAGAUUGGACAGAUGAAAACUGUGACACAUAAAUUUUUAAUUUUAGAAAUGACAGCUUAUCAGGAUUCAGUGAAAAGGAUACAUUUUUAUGAAAACAUACUGGAAUUUAAACCUUUUGCUAAAAGGCCAGUGGAUGUUAGGUGAGCUUGGCUGAAGACAGUAUAUUCUUCCUUUCCAGGCAAGGUCCUGCCAGCUCUUGGUAAGCCUGCAUGGGGUCUUACUAGGUCAGAUUCAUUUUCUAAGUUCCUCUGAAACAACAGUAUCAUUGUAUCAUGUGGUUACAAAAGCUUCCUUUCAAAACUCUCUCUCUCUUUGUCUUGGAUCUAAAAAGCAGGUUCCAAGUGUGAUAUCUUAUUAGAUUACCAGUUUCAUCUUGCCUCACUCUAGGUUGCAAAGGGUUGAUUGAACAUUACAUCUGUGUAUACCUGCUGCAAUAGUGCAAUGAUUACCGGCCUGUUCAAGGCCUGAGAAGGCUGAUCUUGGCAGGCCUGGCCAGGGCCUACCCACAGCCAACUGAAGCAAGGAGCCUAUCUACCCUUAAGCACCUCCAUAUGACAAUACUCAACUGACUCUUGCAUAGAAUAAGAUAAAUGCCAGAAAAGACUACAAACAGUGCUACAAGCAGGAGAUGACCUGAUUUGGAGAUCAAGUCAACUAUGGAAGAGACACCUUGAAAGAGGAGAUAGAAUUUUAACAUGCCGAGACUCAAAAAUGGCAAGGGCCUUUCUGAGUGGAGGCAAAUGCUUGAGAAAAGAUGCUGGGAUGGAAAAACACUGUCCAGGGAGCACUGAGAUACUUACUCAUUUGGAGUUUGAUUGUGGGUUUUACAGAAACGGGGUGAUACUCUUAUGCUUGGGCUGUAUGUGAGAAGUUUGCCCAGGUGAAAACUGAACUUUGGUUAAGAUGGAGGAGGGUGACUACAUCAACUGGAUUUAGAUUUGUUUCCCCUGUGACUCUGCUCAUGUUCCUGGAUCUAGUGAGAUGCUUCACAAUAUCCUUUUAGUCUAGAUUCUCAUGCUGUGAUUCAUUCUUUCAUCUUGUUGUGACUCAUACACCUGUUAUGAACCAGGGAUGUUGUUGGAAGUAACAUUAGAUCCAAAUUUGUAAGAACUUGCCUGAGAGUCAUAGGAAGUCUGCUUUGUCUCAGCCCAUUUGUGCUGCUAUAAGAAAAUGCCACAGACUGGGUAAUUUGUAAAGAAGAGAUAUUUAUUUCUCAAAAUUCUGGAGGUUUAGUCUAUUUCUAAGACCAAAGUGCUGGCACCUGUUGAGGGCAGCUCUUGGCUUCUUUGAAUGCUGGAUCCUCUGGAGAGAGGGGAACAACGUGUCCUCACAUGGCAGAAAGCCAUUUUGUAAGGGCACUAAUCCCAUUCACGUGGGAGAAGCCCUCAUGGCCUGAUCACCUCCUAACGGCCCCACUUCUUAAUCCUUUCACAUUGGCAACCACUGAAUUUUAAAGGGUACAUGUUUAAGCCAUAGCAGCCACAUCAAAUAACUUUGAAAAAGUGCCUUCUAAUUUUAUGUCCUUUAGUGGUCUUCUAGGGGAUGUUUGAGUUUGUAGCUGCAACACUGCAAAAUCAUGAACCACAUGGUGAUGUAUUAUUACACAUCCUCAAUUUAAGUAUUUUGAGGGGGCUGUGAAAUGGCAUUUCAGACACUAUCUUAGGUUUAAAAUCCCUGCAGAUGGAGGAGGAAAGAUAGGUUUGUUAUAUCAGCUGCUCCAAUUGCCACAUGCACAGCCCACAUCCACGGGUCCCACACAUAAAUGGAGGGGGUAGGUGGGUUCUGUAGUGUUAGAGAUGAAUGCAUAGAACAUCUGUGUAUGCCACUCAGGAUCAUGCAACCCCCUCCUUCUUUGUUUUUUUAGAGUCUUCUGGGUGACUCUUUCAAGUACCUCGUGUUCAUAUCAUGCUGGGGCUUUCCGACAUCUGAAAGUUCCAGGUUUGCAUGCUACUUUCUGCAGCUGUCAAGAUGAGCUUUGCCCCAUCGCCACCCAGGGUUGCCAGGUUGCUAAGACAUUUUAUUUGCUUUUGUGCUGUGGUUCAGCAAACAGGCCCUUGCUUUCAUGCCACCCCAUGACCUUGGUUCAGGUAGAGAACAGGAUAAGGAAUGGAAUGUUAAGUAUGUCUUUGGAUAGAUUAACCAGUCAUGCUGGUCACUAUGCUGCUGAUUACAGGGAACAUUUUGUGCUUUGGAUACCAGAUGGUUUGGAAGCAAUUGACAUUCUGUGAGAAGGGUUGAGAAGUCUGACCAAACUUAACCACAUUUUACUGUCACCUAUUAGGGCAAAUGCUGGGUGCCAGAGGUUUGUGCUAAGUGUUUUACUUGAAGUUUAUAUGUAGUAUGGAGGUGGUAAGAAGAAGUUACUGACAGAAUCUGUGUGAGCUUUUCACAGGAAAGUUUAUACAAUAGAAGGAGAUGCCUCAUUUGGGUCUGAAAACCCAGAGGGGUUUUGCUAGGCAGAUAAGGGGAAUUGGGUAAAACAGGCAAAGACACAUGGGAAAGGUCUUAUUGAGUGGUCAAAGCUGAAUGUCCUUUAGUGGUCUUCUAGGGGAUGUUUGAGUUUGUAAUUGCAACAUUGCAGAAAUCAUGAACCACAUGGUGAUGUGUAUAUACAGUGGUGUGUAUAUACAGUGGAAUAUUAGUCACCCUUCAAAAGAAUGUAUAUUAAUGUAUAUUAAUGAGGGAUGAGAGCGACAAUAGUCUGUGUGACAUUAGAUAGAGAGAAAAUUGGAACUUGCAGUGGGAGAUGAGGGAUCACUGUAAGGUUCGAAUCAAGAAAGUGAGUGGAUCUAAGCAAAAACUUCAACUUCAGAAAGUUCAUUCUAAUAGAAGACAGAUUUGGAAAGGGUGAGGUCAGAGGCAGGGAGAACAGAAAGGCCAGGGGACAAGUUAGGGUAAGAGAUGGUUAUCAGAGAACUCCAGCAUUUAAAAAGGAGGUACAGGUUGGGGUUGGGGCUCAGCGGUAGAGCGCUUGCCUCCCACAUGUGAGUCACUGGGUUCGAUCCUUAGACCACAUAAAAAUAAAAGUAAAUGAACAAAAUAAAGAUAUUGAGUCCAUGUAUAACUAAAAAAUAUUUUUAAAAAAUAAAAAGGAGAUACAGAAAGAGGGUGCUGAGGACUGGGUUAGAGAAGGCCUCGGUAGAAUAUGGUGUGUGAGUUCAACCCAGGGAGAAGUAUUUUAAGAAAGGAAUACUUAUCAGCAACCAGAUAAAGAGGACUAAUUUUUUAUGUUUGUUUAUUUAUUUUAAAAUAAAAUUUGUAUAUAUUUAAAUGAUGUAACAUGAUGUUAUAAGAUGCAUAUAUAGUAAAAUGGUUGUUAUAGUGGAACAUAUUAACAUGUCAAUCUCAUAUAGUAACCAUUCCAUGAACCCCUGUCCCUCACUCCCUCUAGCAAGAGCAGCUAUAGUCUAUUAGCAAAAAUUCUGAAUACAUUACACUAUUAUUAACUAUAGUCCUCAUGUUAUACACCAGAUUUUUUACUUGUUCUUCCUACAUAUUUCUACUUUAUAUCCUUUGAUCUACAUCUUCCCUCUUCUACCCCAGCCUCUGGUAACCUUUUAUUCUCUAUCUCUACAUAUUUGACAUUUUUUUUUAGAUUUUACAUAUAAGUGAUAUCAUGCAAUACAACACACUUUUCUUUGUGUUUGGUUUAUUUCACUUAGCAUGAUGUCAUCUAGUUCAUCCAUGUUGUGGCAAAUAGCAGCAACUUCUCCCUUUUGAAGGGUGACUAAUAUUCCACUGUAUAUACACACCACAGUUUAUUUGUGCAAUAAACACUUAGUUUGUUUCCAUAACUGGAAGCUGUUGUAAACCAUACUGCAGCAAACAUGGGCAUGCAGAUAUCUUUACAAGGCAGUGCUUUCAUUUAUUUUGGUGUAUAUACCAGUAGAAGAAUUGCUGGGUCUGAAAGACUUCUAAGUACCCUGGACAUGGCAGCUAGGAGAUCACCAAGGCCUUGACUAGAGUGGCAUCCUCAGGGCUGGCCUGCUAGGGUAAAAGGAAUCAGAUACCUGCUUUCAUAUAACACUCCAGGGAGUGCUCGAUAAUUCAGUAAUCAAGACAGAUAAUAUUUUAAUGCAACAUUUUAAAAUACCAACAUAAUUGUUAAAAUGUAUAAUGAACCAAUUAUCAAAAUUUUAAACAAAAAGAGUAAGAGCGUUACUGAUGUUUCCUUUUACCUCAGAUUCCAGUCUGGCUUGACAGUAAGGGUCACUGUGUAAGGAAAAUGGUGGGUAAGGCCCAGGUGCAGGCCUGCUGAGUGAAAUUGAAGCUGAAGCAAUUAAAGCGCUGAGUAUAGACUCUGUCCUCAUGAUGUCCCAGCUUCAGGUGAAAGGAAAUAAAAUGAAAGAAUGGUCAGUCUAAGGGACCUCUGACUUAAGGGCUUUGGGGUUUACUUAUUGUGUAAGAUAGAAAAGACUUGAACAUGGGGAGUAGGCCCUGCAGUGUCUGAUGAAAGCACUGGUGUAAGGGCUCAGGGGAAACAGGAGGGGACAAAUGGGAUUGUCCUCCCUGGACAAGCUGAAGGACAGAAGGUGCCAAUUGGGGCAGUGGAAAGGUGAGAGGUCGCAGGACUCGGGCCUUAUAAAUGACAAGGUCAUGUAUAAGGGAAUGCCCCUGACAAAAAGCAGCAAUAGAUGGAGUUAGGAUGGAAGAAAGCCAUGCAGGAGGGAGUUGACCCAAGAGGUAUAGAGCUGAUAAAGGGUCUCGUAAAAGAAAUGGCUGAGCAGCAGAAGGCGCCCAGCUGAGGCUGGAACUCACAGGGUGUGGAGUAUCAGUUUCUGUGUUGAGUAAUCUUUUCUCCCUCCCUUCUGAGCUACUUGUUGGUCUACGUGUAUGAGUGCAGGAACUCAGAACCUGAGGCUGGGGUGCAGGGUGACCAACCAUCCUAGUUAGGCCAAGACAGAAAGCCUUUCUGGGAUCAGGACUUUUAGUGCUAAAACUGGAAGGUUCAGGACACACCAGGCCCAUUCAUUUAUCUAAGGUGUUAUAGGAUUGGAAGUCAGGAGUCAAACAGAACCUCUGCACUGGGAAGAACUCUGAAAGAAAUGAAGAAAGCCCUCAGAAAUGAAGUUGGUGACCUCGCGGCUCUCUGUUGAGCACUGUACUACUGUUCCUUAGGAUGGCACUGUGCCAGACGUCUGCCGAGGUCAUUCUUCAGGUGGAAGAGGCACUUGAUGAAGAAGAAAAGGAGAUGCUGUGCUUUUUGUGUCUGGAUAUUACUGCAGAUGUAGUUCCACCUACAGUCAGGGACCUUCUGGAUAUUUUAUGUGAGAGAGGGAAGCUGUCUGUGGUGCAGUUGGCAGAGCUGCUCUACAGAGUGAGGCGGUUUGACCUGCUCAAGCGAAUUUUGAAGAUGGACAGAACAGCCGUGGAGGCUCACCUGCGCAGCCAUCCUCACCUUGUUUCGGACUAUAGGGUGCUGAUGGUGGAGAUUGGUGAGAAUUUGGAUAAAAAAGAUGUAUCAGCAUUGAUUUUCCUCAUGAGGGAUUACACAGGCCGAGGCAAGGUCUCCAAGGACAAGAGUUUCUUGGAUCUGGUGGUUGAUUUGGAGAAACUGAAUUUGAUUGCUCCAGAUCAAUUGGAUUUAUUAGAAGAAUGUCUAAAGAACAUCCACAGAAUAGACCUGAAGACAAAAAUCCAGAAGUACAAGCAGUCUGCUCAAGGAGCUAUGAAAGGAGCAGGAACAAGUUGUGUGAAUUCUCUCCACACCUCUCUCCCAAACUUGAGUCUCAAAGAUCCUUCAUAUAGCAUAAGGCUCCAGAAUGGGAGAAGUAAAGGACAAAGACAUUGGCCACUCCUUCAAAGAGAACCAGUAAAGACAUCCAUUCAGGAAUCAGGAGCUUUUUUCCUUCAGCACAUCUCUGAAGAGAUAUACAAGAUGCAGAGCAAGCCCCUUGGAAUUUGCUUGAUAAUUGAUUGCAUCGGCAAUGACACAGAAGUUCUUCGACACACCUUCACUUCCCUGGGCUAUGAAGUCCAAAAUUUUUUGCAUCUUCAUGUGAAAGACAUAAGCCAUAUCCUUCACCAAGUUGCCAAUCUGCCCCGACACCGACACCAUGACAGCUUUGUGUGUGUCCUGGUGAGCCGAGGAGGCUCCCAAAGUGUGUUUGGCGUGGAUGAGACUCACUCAGAGUUAUCCUUGCAUCAUAUCAGGAGGAUAUUCAUGGGGGACAAAUGUCCUUCCCUCAUAGGGAAACCAAAGCUCUUUUUUAUUCAGAACUAUGUGGUGUCUGAGGGCCAGAAGGAAGACAGCAGCCUGCUGGAGGUCGAUAGUCCAGCGAUGACCAAUGUGGAAUCCAAGGAACCAAAGCCUGGGCCAAGCACGGUUCACCGAGAAGCUGACUUCUUCUGGAGCUUGUGCACUGCUAGUGUGUCCCUGCUGGAGCAGUCCUCUAGCUCACCCUCCUUGUACCUGCAGAGCCUCUCUCAGAAGCUGCAGCGAGAAAGAAAACGCCCACUUCUGGAUCUCCACCUUGACCUCAACCGCAAAGUGUAUGAUUGGAACAGCAGAGUUUCUGCCAAGGAAAAGUACUGCCUCUUUUUGCAACACACCCUGAGAAAGAAACUCAUCCUGUCUCCCACAUGAAAACCCCAAACCUUUCUUCACCUGGAGGUCUCCAUCUCUAGAGAGAGAGUGGUUUUCAAGCAUGCAUGCAUGUGAAUGUGUCAGGGAAACUUGCAACCCACAGACUCUUCUCUCAGGAGCUGGUUGUGAGGACUGAUUCCCCAACCCUGGUUCCAUUCUGGCUCCCCACUCUUUCCUCCUCCGGUAAGUCAUCUUUCUGUUACUGUACAAAUGCCGAGAUAAUCAGCUUCAAAACACAAAAGGUCUAUUUUGGCUUAUGGUUUCAGACAUUUCAGUCCACAGUCACUUAGCCCUGUUGUUUAAGGCUGUGGUGAGUGGUACAAGGUAGAGGAAGCACAAGGCAGAGGAAGCCGUUCAAGCUGACAGUUUGGAAGCAGAGAAAAGGAGAGGAGGGACCUGGUUCCAAUGUCCUCUUCUAAGGCACUCCCUCCCCAGUGAACUAACUCCUCCCACUAGGCCUCACCUCCCAAAGGUUUCCACCACCUCCAGUAGUGCCACCUGCUGGGACCAAGCCUUCAACACACUGGCCUUUGAGGGUCAUUUAAGUUCCAAACUAUUGCACUUCUCUUCCAUGAAUAGAUUGUGGUAAGUGGUAUUGAACACCUUCUCCUGUCUGCAGCAGGAAUCUGGGAAUCUCUUCACCCAUAUUCUAGGAGUAAAUUUUCAGGAUUAAGCUUGUUUCUUAUGCCACCAGGAAGUCAGAAUUUGAGGUCAAUCUUGUCAAAUUGGCUGCGAUUUAUAAUUGGUAAAGUAGCCUUAAAGAAUAUGGUUGUCCAAACAUCAACUAAGUCUGGCCAAUGAGAGGUAAGCAGAAGUAACUAUGGCAGCUGCAAAAAAAAAAAAAAAACUUUCCUUGAAAGAUAUCUAUGUUUUGCCCUUGCCCCCUAUUUGUCUCUUCUUCCAUCCUGUUGAUUAGAUAGUGGAUUUGAUGGCUGGAUCUCUAACUUCCGUGUUGAACUAUGGAGGGCCAUAUUACAGGAAUAGCUGCAUGGUGAAGAAUAGCUGAACACUGAAUGAGGAUGUUAAGGAGCAAACGCACCAUACCAGCCUAAACCACCUACCUCUGGACUUUUAUGUGAAUGAAAAAAAUCAGAAUUUAUAUUUCUCUCAAACUGAUUAGCCCAACUGAUGUUUUGUUCUUUGAUUAAAAUAUCUGGAAUGUUUGUUCCUAUUAUAAGCUUGAAAGAAAUUUGUAUAGAUGAUUAUUUUUAUUUUCUAAUUAUUAUUUAAAAUGUAUACACUUAAAUCUGAGCUGGCCUAAAUGUUUAAUAUGGAUGAUCUUGUUUUUCUUGUUUCAUCUUUUGUGCUUUUUUUGAGGAGGAUGGAGAUGCUUAAUUAAGAUGGUACAGUUUGAACAGAAUCGUCCUGAGAGGUGUGACUCACAUGGAAAAGUCAUUCUGAGUCACUCAAAUUACAGACACAGCUUUUGUAUUGAGUUCAUGGUGAAUAAGAAUUCACAGUAAGAGUUUGAAAGCUACAUAUAUAAAGCCAAAUGUGAAGGAGAGAGAUUCAUUUUGAAAGGUUAAAGAUAAUCAAGAUCAUGACUCAAAAAGAGCCACGUCUUAAAAAUCUACAAUUCCUUGUUUUCCUUGCUGGGUCCUCUCUUGCAAUGUAAUAACCCCAAAGGUGGAAAUGUAGAACUUUAAUCAAGGCCACUGAAUGGAAUGACUGAUCUUCCCAGGGAGCCACAAGAACCUCCCUAUUCCGAGAAUCACUUUCUACCCCCAACCUCUUUUUUUAUUAACAGAGGAUUGAACUCAGGGGUGCUCUACCACAAGCUACAUCCAAAGCUCUUUUUACUUUUUAUUUUGAGUCAGAGUUUUGGUAAGAUGCCCAGACUUGCAAUCCUCCUAUCUUAACUGCCUGAAUCACUGGAAUUACAGGUGUGCACCACUAUGCCCAGCUUGUUUUCUUCCUUUUCUUGUGUUACCCCAAAGCUGCAGGGCUCCAGAGCCAAGGUUUUCUACAUUGGCUUCAUUACAUAUUUAAUAAGCAAACACAAGAAAAUCAGUUCUCUUCAACAAAUCCCUAUGCAAUGUCAGCUGAUAUCUACUAAGUACCACAAAUAAACUUAACUCCCUAGGCGAAAACCAGGAGGACCACCUUAAUGGCAGAUUUGAAUCAAGAAUUCAAACACGCAUGUCUUGGGGCUGGGGAUGUGGCUCAAGCGGUACCGUGCUCGCCUGGCAUGCUUGCGGCCCGGGUUCGAUCCUGAGCACCACAUACAAAACAAAGAAGUUGUGUCCGCCGAUAAACUAAAAAAUAAAUAUUAAAAUUCUCUCUCUCUCUCUCUCUCAAAAAAAAAAAAUUCAAACACGCGUGUCUUAAGCAGCACAGUACCAGAGCCAAAAGGUAGAAACAAUCCAAUGUCCACCAACAGAUGGGCAAACAAAAUAUACCCACGUUUUAUAUGUUUACUUAUAUAAAUGAAAUGUAUCCAUACAAUAAAAUAUUAUUCAUCUGUAAAAAGGAAGAAAGUACAUGGAUGAGUCUCAAAAACAUGCUAAGUGAAACAAGUCAGACAUGAAAGAUUACAUAUUUUGUGAUGCUGUUUAUAGGAAAUAUUCAGAAUAGCUAAAACUGUGUUACCAGAAGGUAUAUCACAUGUUGCUAGGGACUUUCCCAGAAGGAAUGGGGAGAGAAUGCUUACUGGGUAUGCAGCUUCCUUUGGGGUGAUAAAAACGUUUUAUAACUAGAUAGAAGUGAUGGUUGCACAACACUACAAAUUUACUAAAGUCACAGAUCUGUGUACUUUAAAACAGUUAAUUCUAUCUCAUGUGAAUUUCACCUCAAUAAGAAAAAGAGAGAUUAGAAUUGAUUGAUUGAUUCACACAUGCAUUAUUCUAAAAACAUUUCCCCCCUUUCCCUGUCUCUCUCUCUCUCUCUGUCUUUUUCUUUUUCUGCACUGAGGAUUGAACUUAGGGGAUUCUACCACUUCUUCCCCAGCUCUUUUAUUUUUUAUUUUUAUUUUGAGACAGGGUCUCACUAAGUUGCCCAGGUGGGCCUUGAACUUGCAAUCCUCCUCCUUUAUCAGAUUUGUGUCUUACAAAUACUUUCUCCCAGGCCGUGUUAGUCCUUUCAUCUUUUCUUUCUCUUAAUAAUGCCUUUCACGGAGCUGAAGAUUUUAAUUUUAGUGAAGUCCAGCUUAUUAGUUAUUUCUUUUGUGAAUUGUGCUUUUGGCAUUUUAUCUAAGAAACCAUUGUCAAAUGCAAGGUCAUCUAGGUUUUCUCCUAGAAGUUGUAGUCUUGUAUUUCACACUUAGGUCUACAAUCAAUUUUGAGUCAAUUUUUUUUUGUGAAACAUGUAAGACCCGUGUCUGGAUUCACUUUUUACACUUGUCCUAGCACCAUUUGUUGAAAAGACCAUCUUCUCUACUGAAUAACCUUUGUUUCUUUCUCGAAGGUCAUUUGGUUGUAUUUGUAUGGGUCUGUUUCUGUUUCUCUGUCAGUCAGUUACCCCACCUUCUGGAUCACUGAAGCUUUACCUUACAUCUUGACAGUAUACAAUGUUGGGGAAAUGUGGAGAAUUUUGACUGAAUUGUUUGUUUCAUUUUAAACAAUAUGUUAUUAUACUUAAAAAAAUAAAAUAAAAACUAAAAAAAGUCUAGUGGUUUUAUUAAACAUGAUGAAUGUAUUUAUUUUAAACACAAGUGGCAUAAUAUUAUAUUUAAUACUUUCUCUCUUUUUUUCCUCUUGUGAUAUGGGGGACCAAACCCAGAGUCUCAGGCAUGCUAAACAUGUGCUCUACCACUGAGCUACACCUUCAGCCUCUUCUCUUUCUUUUCAUUCAUGGGGUCAUGUUGAUACGUCUUUUACAAUUUUUCCAUAUUUAAACAAUGGUACAAAAACCAUCUUUUCUUUCUUAUUUGGUAAGGACUUCCUGCCUCAUAUCUAGGGUUCCCAAUCCCCUUUUUAGUCCUUCUUCCAAGAUAGGGUAUGAUUUCAACUAUUUUAUAUCUUUAGUCUCUUCCUCUCUCUUCAAUCCUUUAAUCUAAAAGCAAACUCUGCCUCCCUUGUUGAAUAAAUUCCCUCUCUUUUGGGCCCUGUCCUAGGGAAACAUUAAGACUAGUUUAUACUGUCUCCCUUCCUCUUUGCCCAUUUACUUCAACUUUCCUGCCAUCUGCAUUUCACCUUAACCAUUCUAACAAGUCUUCAGCGUUCAAGGGUGGCAUUCAUCUUGGUUGCCUCCUCCCUGUUUCUCCAAGGAUCCACUAAAGAAGUUCUAUCUAGGACUUCUUGCUAUCCUUCACUUCCUGAUCUUUAAAUGUGAAUAUUCCUGAGGAUCACUCUUUUUUUCCUCUAUUUAUAUUUUGUCUUUUGACAACUUUGUGGCUUUAAGUAGUAUUUCAAUACAAGUGACUCUAAGAUGGAUUUUUAUACUCUACAUUCCUUUCUUCAAGUCUUUUCAAUUUCUGGAAGAUUUUCCCACUUGAUUUUUCCCUCUGGUACCUCAAACUUAAUAUACACCCAACAUUUAAAAAGCCUUAUUCCAAAUCUCCUGUCCAUGUCUCCAAUUUCGGCUAACAGCACUACCAGAACAUCAUUUUCACCCUAGUCCCCCUUCUUCUAUCUUCCUGUAGCCAACUAGUUUCUAAUUGGGUGAGUUCUGUAUCUACUAUGGUUUUUGCUCCUUGUAAUGAGGACUUGUUUAAAUUAAAUAUACCAAACUAUUUUUCCCCUAUUUUAUUUCCUGGUAACCUGUAUUUCUCCAUCUCAAUUUCCUCAAGCCAAGAAUGGAAACUGAGAUGCUCCAACCCUUGGCUCGAGCAGAUGCCAGUGAAACCAAAAUGGAAACAUCUCUGGGCAGCACAGCCUGGCUAAGUCUACAUAUGUACAUCUCUCGCUUUUGUUCCUAUAAAUUGUAAUGUUUGUGUUUGACACACAGGCAUAUUAACUGCUUUCCCAGUUUGGGUCAAACUGCAAUUAAAUUCCUUUUUCCUGUUUAUUAUCAUUUCUCUUAUUUCUGACAUUGGUGGGCAAUCGAAUUCAGUCUGCCUGAACCCAGCAGGGUCUCUGGCUUGGGGCACUGGUAACUCUGUGGGUCAUCCAAUUUGUCUGAGACAACAAUGUUUGGAGGAAAAUCUUGAAGAAGCUGAAAAUGAAGAAACAAUUUCGACAGAUGAAGGUUUUAGAUAGUUGACUGAGCUGCAAUUCUAUUAUCUCUGCACUGGAGAAUCUUGAAUCUUGACCAAGCUGAGUUUAAGGAGAUCCUUCAGGUUGCAAAAAAGAUGGUGGUUGAGUGGCAGGUACAAACCCAAGGUGAAGGCUAUGGUCCUAGUUGAGUGGAGAGGUCAUAAAGGCAGAGAAACUGUAAAGGUGAGGCAGGUGGCUACUGGAACUCCAGGUCAGACACUCUGUUGGGUUUCAGAGGGCUGGAUUCAGUCACCUGCCUACAUCAGAAAUAAGAGAAAUAAUAUAAAAAGGAAAAAAAUGUAUUUAAUUACUGUCUGACUCGAACUGGGAAGGCAGCCAAAUCUGCCUCCAUUGAUCCUUCAGAAACAUUACAAUGUAAAUGAACAAAAGGCAGAAAAUAUACAUAAAUAGAUUUAUUCAGGCUUUGCUAGCCAGAGAGAUGUUACAAUUCAGCUUUCCCUGGUACCUGUCUGAGGGUGCUGGGGGAGCAGCUUCUCAGUGUCCAUUUUCAUCAUGAGGAAGCUGGGGUGGAAAAUGCAGGUUAUUAGGAAAUUAAAGGAAAAAAGUUGGGGAAUUUUAAUUCAAAGGAACACUGCUAUGGCAGCUUCUGAGUCUGGGUCUUUAGUUCUGGUCAUUGUAUCUUUCUGGACUCUAACCUGCCACCUUACCCAACAUCUCCAAAACAUAACUGUAGUGCAAGGUCUGUUUCUAAUACUGCCUUCUUCCAUUGUCCACGGUCCAAUAUCUCUUCAUUUGGAAUUUUUGCUUCCUCCCCUGAAUAGAAUAAAAUUUCAUAUGAAUCUCUUCCAUGUCUUCUUUCUAUUUUGUAUCUCAGGCUGUAAUUUAUUUAUAUUUUGUGAUAUGGGGAUUGAACCCAGAGUCUUGGACAUGCUAGACUAGCACUUACUGCUGAGCUACUCACAGCCCCUUCUGCAUGAUUUACUGAUGAGCAUGAUAUAGUUGAAUUCAGUUUUAUCUUUAUAGCUUUUUCAAGCACUGAAGCGGAUGCAGAGCCUGGCAUACAGUAAGCCCUCCAUAAAUGCACAUUCAAUGAAUUCAUGAUUGAUAAAGAAGAAAUGAUUGACUCUGGAAUGUUAAGUUUCAUAAAAUAUUAUGAUACAUUCAUGAUCUUGCUUUAGCAAGUAAUGUACUGGACAUAAUUUAGAUUAUUAUUCAUGUAGUUUUAUAUUAUAAAGUAUAAGUAGUUUGUGACAUGGAAUUGUGACAUACCCUAUGUCUCCCUUUCGUCUUUUUAUUGAGAUAUAGUUCACAUUCCAAAACAUUCACCUUUUUCAAGUACACAGUUCAGUGGUUUUUAUUAUAGUCAGAGAAUUAAGUAAUCAUUAAUUUCAGAGAAUUUCCUUCCACCUAAAGAGAAAACCCUCUACCAAUUAUCCAUCACUCUAUUUCUCUUCUUUCCCCACCCUCUGAUAACAAGUAAUUCAUUUUCUGUCUCUUUGGAUUGCCUGUUCUGGGUAUUUUACGUAAACAGAUCAUACAAAUCAUAGUCCUUUGUGCCUGACUUCUUUCACUUCUUUCAUAGUGUUCUGCUAUGCUGUGGAGUGUUAGCACUUCAUUCCAAUGAAGGCUGAAAUAUUCUGUUGCAUGGAUAUGCCACACUUAUUUAUUCAUCAAUCAAUGAAAGUUUGCAUUGCUUCACUGGUUGGCUGUUGUAAAUAUUGCUGCUGUGCAUGUUCAUGUACAAGGUUUGUGUGGACAUAUAUUUUCAUUUCUCUUGGGCAUCUACUUAGAAGUAGAAUUGCUAAGAAUUACAGAAACUUUAUGUUCAGUUUUUGAGAAUCUGCCAAACUGUUUUCCCAAGUCGGGGUACCAUUUUACAGUCCCACAAGCAAAGUACUAGGGUUCAAAUUUCUCAUACCCUUGCCAACACUUGCUAUUGUCCCCCUCCUCCUUAAAUUAUAAGCUUACCCUAUUGGACAUGAUGUGGUGUCUCACUGGUUCUGGUUUGCAUUUCCUUGAUAACUAUUCAUGUCAAACAGGCAUCUUUUCGGGUGCAUAUUGGCCAUUUGCUUAUCUUUUUUGGAAAAAUAGCUGUUCAAAUUCUUUCUCAUUUUUUAAAUUGGGUUUGUUUUUUUGUGGGUUUGGGUGUAGAUUUUGUUGUGGUGAUUGUUGAGUUGUUAAGUAUUCUUUUCUUUUAAUUCUGGAUAUUAGUCUCUUAUCAGAAUAAAGGUUUGCAAAUAUUUUCUCCCAUUCUUUGGAUUAUCAUCUCACUUUCUUAGUGAUGUCCUUUACAGAAGUUUAAAAUUGUGGUCAAGUUCAACUGCUUAUGCUUAUGUUCUUGGUGUCAUAUCUAAGAAGCCAUUACCCUAUCCAAGGUAAUGAGGUGUUAACAACAGUGUUUUCUUCUGUGAGUUUUAUGAUUUCAGUUCUUUGAUACAUUGUGACUUAAAAAUAUGUGGUGUGAGGUAAGGGUUCAACCUCAUUCUUUUGCAUAUAAAUACUCAUUUGUCUCAACUCCACUUAUUUUAUUAAUUUAUUUGUUCUAAUUUUUUAUAUAUGACAGCAGAAUGCAUUUCAAUUCAUAGUACAAGUAUAAAGCACAAUUUUUCAUGUCUCUGGUUGUACACAAAGUAGAGUCACACCAUUCAUGUCUUCAUACAUGUACUUAAGGUAAUGAUGUCCAUCUCAUUUCACCAUCUUUUCUAUUCCCCCAGCCCCCUCCCUUCCUCUACCUCACUGUUGCCCUAUCUAAAGUUCCUCCAUUCCUCCUAUGCUCCCCCCACUCUCCAUCCCCGUUAUGAAUCAGCAUAUCAGAGAAAACAUUUGGCAUUUGUUUUUUUGUGAUUGGCUUACUUUAAUUAGCAUAAUAUUUUCCAACUCCAUCCAUUUGCCUGCAAUAUUCCAUUGUGUAUAUAUACCACAAUUUCUUUACCUAUUCAUCUACUGAAAGGACAUCUAGGUUGGUUCCACAAUUUAGCUAUUGUAUAUUGUAUAUUGUGCUGCUAUAAACACUGAUGUGCCUGUGUCCCUGUAGUCUGCUGUUUUUUAGUUCUUUGGGUAUAAAUCAAGAAGUGGGAUAGCUGGGUCAAAUGGUGGUUCCAUUCCAAGUUUUCCAAGGAAUCUGCAUAAUACUUUCCAGAUUGGUUGCACCAAUUUGCAGUCUCACCAGUAAUGUAUGAGUGUGCCUUUCUCCCCACAUCUUCACCAACACUUAUUGUUGUUUGUAUUCUUAAUAGCUGCCAUUCUGACUGGAGUGAGAUGAAAUCUUAGUUUUGAUUUGCAUUUCUCUAAUUGCUAGAGAUAUUGAACAUUAUUUCAUAUAUUUGUUAAGUGAUUGUAUAUCAUCUUCUGAGAAGUGUCUGUUCAUUUCCUUGGCUCAUUUAUUGAUUGGGUUAUUUGGUUUUUUGGUGUUAAGUAUUUUGAGUUCUUUAUAUAUCCUAGAGAUUAGUGCUCUAUCUGAUGUGCAUGUGGUAAAAAUUUGUUCCCAUUCUGUAGGCUAUCUAUGCACAUCACUGAUUGUUUCUUUUGCUGAGAAGGAGCUUUUUAGUUUGAAUCUUUCCCAUUUAUUGAUUGUCAAUUUUAUUUCUUGUGCUAUAGGAGUCUUAUUACGAAAUUCGGGGCCUAAUCUGAUAUGAUGAAGAUUUGGGCCUAUUUUUUCUUCUAUUAGGUGCAGGGUCUCUGGUUUAAUUCCUAGGUCCUUGAUCCACUUUGAGUUGAGUUUUGUGCAUGGUGAGAUAUAAGGGCUUAAUUUCAUUUUGUUGCAUAUGGAUUUCCAGUUUUCCUAGCACCAUUUGUUGAAGAGUCUAUCCUUUCUCUAAUAUAUGUUUUUGGCACCUUUGUUUAAUAUGAGAUAACUGUAUUUAUGUGGGUCGUCUCUGUGUCCUCUAUACUGUACCAUUGAUCUACAUGUCUAUUUUGGUGCCAGUAUUAUGCUGUUUUGUUACUAUUGCUUUGCAGUACAGCUUAAGGUCUGGUAUAGUGAUGCCACCUGCUUUGCUGUUCUUGCUAAGGAUUGCUUUGGCUAUUCUGGGUCUCUUGUUUUUCCAGAUUAAUUUAAUGACUGCUUUUGCUAUUUCUAUAAGGAAUGUCAUUGGUAUUUUGAUUGGAAUUGCAUUAAAUAAUGUAUAGUGUUUUUGGUAGUAUGGUCAUUUUGACAGCAUUAAUUCUGCCUAUCCAAGAACAAGAGAGAUAUCUCCAUCUUCUAAGGUCUUCUACAAUUUCUUUCUUUAGCAUUCUGUAAUUUUCAUUGUAGUGGUCUUUGCCUCUUUUGUUGAUUCCUAAGUAAUUUUUUUUGAGGCUAUUGUAAAUGGGGUAGUUUUCCUGGUUUCUCUUUCAGAGGAUUUCUCACUGAUGUACAGAAAUGCCUUUGAUUUAUGGGUGUUGAUUUUAUAUCCUGCUACUUUGCUGAAUUCAUGUAUUAGUUCUAGAAGUUUUCAUGGAAGUUUUUGAAUCUUCUAAGUGUAGAAUCAUAUCAUCAGCAAAUAGUGAUAAUUUGAGUUUUUCUUUUCCUAUGUGUAUCCCUUUAAUUUCUUUUGUCGGUCUUAUUGCUCUGGCUAGAAUUUCAAGAACUAUGCUAAAUAGAAUUGGUGAAAGAGGGUAUCCCUGUCUUGUUCCAGAUUUUAGAGGGAAUGCUUUCAAUUUUUCUCCAAUUAGAAUGAUGUUGGCCUGGGACUUAGCAUAGAUAGCUUUUAUAAUGUUGAGAUAUGUUCCUAUUAUCCCUAGUUUUUCUAGUGUUUUGAACAUGAAGGGUUGCUAUAUUUUGUUGAAUGCUUUUUCUGCAUCUAUUGAGAUGAUCAUAUGAUUCUUAUCUUUAAGUCUAUUGAUGUAAUAAAUUACAUUUAUUGAUUUUUGUAUUUUGAACCAACCUUGCAUCCCUGGGAUGAACCCCACUUGAUUAUGGUGUACUAUCUUUUUGAUAUGUUUUUGUAUUCAAUUUGCCAGAAUUUUUAUUGAGAAUUUUUGCAUCUAUGUUCAUUACAGAUAUUGGUCUGAAGUUUUCUUUCUUUGAUGUGUCUUUUCCUGGUUUUGGAAUCAGAGUGAUAUUUGCCUCAUAGAAUGAAUUUGGAAGUGUUCCCUCUUUUUCUAUUUCAUGAAAUAAUUUGAGGAGUAUUGGUAUUAGUUCUUCUUUGAAGGUCUUGUAGAACUCACCUGUAUUUCCAUCCAGUCCUGUGCUUUUCUUGGUUUGUAGUCUUCUAAAUUCUUGGAUUGCAUCUUCUAUUUCAUUGCUUGAAAUUGAUCUGUUUAACUUGUGUAUAUCAUCCUGAUUCAGUUUGGGAAAAUCAUAUGACUCUAAAAUUUGUCAAUGCCUUUGAUAUUUUCUAUUUUAUUGGAGUACAAAUUUUCAAAAUAAUUUCUAAUUAUCUUCUGUAUUUCUGUAGUGUCCAUCAUGAUAUUUCUUUUUUUCACCAUGGGUGUUAGUAAUUUGAAUUUUCUCUCACCUACUCUUCAUUAGCAUGGCUAAGGGUUUAUCAAUUUUAUUUAUUUUUUUCAAAGACCAACUUUUUGUUUUGUCAAUUUUUUCAAUUGUUUCUUUUGUUUCAAUUUCAGUGAUUUCAGCUCUGAUUUUAAUUAUUCCCUGUCUUCUACUGCUUUUGGUGUUGAUUUGUUCUUUUUCUAGGGCUUUGAGAUAUAAUGUUAGGUCAUUUAUUUGUUGACUUUUUCUUCUUUUAAGGGAUGAACUCCAUGCAAUGAACUUUCCUCUUGGUACUGCUUUCAUAGUGUCCUAGAGAUUUCAAUAUAUUGUAUCAAUAUUCUCAUUUACCUCUAAGAAUUUUUUAAAUGAAAUUAUCUAUUUAUUCUAAUUUGUUUUACAUGAUGGCAAAAUGCAAUUCAUUUCAUAUUACACAUACAAAGCACAAACCUCUAAGAAUUUUUAAAUCUCCUCUUUGCUGUCUUUUGCAACCCAGUGUUCAUUCAGUAGCAUAUUAUUUAGUCUCCAGGUGUUGGAGUAGCUUCUAUUUUUUAUUUUAUCAUUGAUUUCUAAUUUCAUUCCAUUAUGAUCUGAUAGAAUGCAGGGUAGUAUCUCUACUGUUUGUAUUUGCUAAGAGUUGCUUUGUGGCAUAAUAUAUGGUCUGUUUUGGAAAAGAAUCCAUGUGCUGCUGAGAAGAAAGUUUAUUCACUCAUUGAGAGAUGAAAUAUUCUAUAUAUGUCUGUUAAGUCUAAGUUAUUAAUUGUAGUAUUGAGUUCUAUCAUUUCUUUCUUUAGCUUUGUUUGGAAAAUCUAUCCAGUGGUGAAAGAGGUGUGUUAAAGUCACCCAGAAUUAUUGUGUUGUGCUAUUUGACUCUUGAACUUGAGAAGAGUUUGUUUGAUGAAUGUAAUGCUCCAUUGUUUGGGGAUAUAUAUUUAUAAUUGUUAUAUCUUGUUGAUGUGUGGUUCUCUUAAGCAGUAUGAAAUGUCCUUCUUUAUCCCUUUUGAUUAACUUUGGCUUAAAGUCUACUUUAUUUGAUAAGAGGUUGAAAUCCCUGCUUGUUUCUGCAGUACAUGUGAGUGGUAUAUUUUUUCCCAACCUUUCACCUUCAGUCUGUGGAUGUCUUUUCCUAUGAGAUGAGUCUUUUGAAGGCAACAUAUUUUUGGCUCUUUUUUUUCCAAUCCAAUCUGCCAGUCUAUGUCUUUUGAUUGGUGAGUUUAGGCCAUUAACAUUCAGGGUUAUUAUUGAGAUAUGAUUUAUCAUAUUUGUUUAUUUUUGGUAUUUAACUUGACUUGUUUUCUCCUUUGAUUAGUAUUUCCUUUAGUGUAAUAUCUCCCUUUGCUGACUUUCAUUGUUGUUUUUCAUUUCCUCCUCAUGGAAUAUUUUGCUGAGGAUGUUUUGUAGUGUAGGCUUUCUAGUUGUAAAUUCUUUUUAACUUUUGUUUACCAUGGAAGGUUUUUAUUUCAUCAUCAAACUAAAGCUUAGUUUUGCUGGAUAUAAGAUUCUUGGUUGGCAUCCAUUUUCUUUCAGAGCUUGGUAUAUGUUGUUCCAGGAUCUUCUAGCUUUUAGGGUCUGGGUUGAAAAAUCUGUAGAGAUCCUAAUUGGUUUCCUCCUAUAUGUAAUCCGAUUCCUUUCUCUUGUGGCUUUUAAAUUCUCUCCUUAUUCUGUAUGCUAGGCAUUUUCAUUAUAAUGUGUGUUGGUGUAGCUCUGUUGUGAUUUUGUAAAUUUGGUGUCCUGUAAGACUCUUAUAUUUGAUUUUCCAAUUCAUUCUUCAUGUUUGGAAAAAUUUCUGAUAUUAUUUUAUUGAAUAGAUUAUUCAUUACUUUGGUUUGGAAUUCUAUGCCUUCUUCUAUUCCAGUAAUUCUUAUAUUUGGUCUUUUUAUGUUAUCCCAUAAUACUUGAAUGUUCUGCUCAUGUUUUCUCACCAUCUUCACUGUGUGGUGAACAUUCUUUUCAAGAUUAUAUUUUUUCUUCAUUGUCUGAGGUCCUGUCUUCCAAGUGAUCUAAUCUGUUGUUGAUACUUUUAAUUUGGUUUAUUUUUUCAUUUCAAGGAUUUCUUUUUUUUUUCAGAACCUCUAUCUCCUUAUUGAAGUAACCUUUUGUUUCCUGUAUUUGCUUAUGUAGUUCUUUAUCAAAAUUAUUUUUGCUGCCUGUAUUUUCUCUCUUAUAUCAUCCUUUAAUUCACAGAACAUUUUAAUUAUGUACAUCCUGAACUCCUUCUUUGUCAUUAAACUUCUGUUGUGCUGGCCAUGGAUUCUAAUAAUGUAAUAUCUUGGUUUGUUUGGGGGAACUUUCUUCCCUUGUUUUUUCAUGUUGUUCAUGUGUCUUCCCUUCUAGAACUGCAGAUCUGUGCUAUAAGGUUUUUACCCUAUAGGCUUAUAGUGUCUCUGCAGGUUUCCAAUACCUCUCCUUUAAGGAGGAGAUCAAUGUGAACAGAUUCCAGUACAAACAAUAUACAAUCUUAAACCAAAUAUCUGCUAUUAAGACAUUUAUGGUUUUGUCAGAAUAUUCAGAAAUUAUUAUCUACAAUAUUUGCUCAAUUAUUAUCUACAAUAUAAACAGUAGGUUUGCAAAAGAGUGUACAGUUUCUGAUGAUGGACAAAGAACUGGGGGUGAGGUGUAGGAUGAGAUAUUGAAGGGAGUAGGAGGUAAGGAUAUAGAGUUAUCAGAACUUAGAAAGUGUGAAAGAGGAAACUAAAGUUGCUUAGUAGCAGGAGAAGAGAGAGAAAGUAAUUUGGGGGAGACAGUAAGUGGAAAGACAGUAGAGUACAAAAAAAAACCAAACAUAAAUAUUAAGGAAAGUAAAAAUGUAAAAACGGGAGAUAAAAGAA
This is an RNA transcript of Marmota monax (woodchuck), 22449 nucleotides long. It is a transcript of the gene named CASP8 and FADD like apoptosis regulator, with no coding region annotated. The transcript has 11 exons. Lineage: Eukaryota; Metazoa; Chordata; Mammalia; Rodentia; Sciuridae. The record is from RefSeq and is a predicted model, not a curated record.